ACUGUUUUGGCAGAGGUUAUGCAUUAGAUUUAGGAUUUAAGUAGAUAGAGUUUUCUAUAGACAGUA
This 66-nucleotide transfer RNA is filed under the name Lauridromia dehaani. Its description in RNAcentral is "tRNA-Leu". Lineage: Eukaryota; Metazoa; Arthropoda; Malacostraca; Decapoda; Dromiidae. The record is from RNAcentral.